RNAcentral lists this non-coding RNA (26 nucleotides) under Rattus norvegicus (Norway rat). The record is from RNAcentral. Lineage: Eukaryota; Metazoa; Chordata; Mammalia; Rodentia; Muridae.
UGCACAGUGAGAAUCGUGAAGGGAGC